CCAAAACUUAGCCUUGUUCACGGAUCAAUGAAAUGAGGUCGAGAUCGAGGUCGAGUGAAAACUGUAUGACGGGCAUGAGGACCUUGCAAGGUACCCACAUACCAAAUAUAGCUAUCCUACUACUUAUAAUAAGAGAGACUUUAAUAUUACAAAAGAUCUUACUUUUUUUUCAAGUAGUCACUGAACCAUGAAAAUGGGGUCAAGGACAUUGAACAUGUGACUGACGGAUCCCUAUGUCGAGCUUUCUGCAUCUAAAGUUGCAGGCUCAACGAAAACAGACCAAUAUUUGUUGAAAAACAUACAAUCUUCAGUUUUCAGCUUAUAUAUCUAGAAAUGUAACAAAGUUUUUUGUAUAAAUUUGAAGGCGACUCGAAAAAAAAAGUGUGCUGUUAUUUUGCAAAUUUUUAAAUACUCUUUAAUGUUUGCACCCCUUAUUAGCCAAUUUGUUACAAAUUUAACACACAAGCAUUUGAAUAUUAUUACCUCCAAGAAGGAAUAUAUACAUAAAGAAGGAUCACUCAAUCUUAAUUUCAGAAUUGCCAAACAGCUCUUAGUCUCCAGCUAUUUCAAGCUGUAAUUUUGCCUAUGAAUAU
Molecule: long non-coding RNA, 593 nt
Filed under: Mytilus galloprovincialis (Mediterranean mussel)
Lineage: Eukaryota; Metazoa; Mollusca; Bivalvia; Mytilida; Mytilidae
Source: RNAcentral